UGGGGAAUAUUGCACAAUGGGCGCAAGCCUGAUGCAGCCAUGCCGCGUGUAUGAAGAAGGCCUUCGGGUUGUAAAGUACUUUCAGUCGGGAGGAAGGUGGUAAGGUUAAUAACCUUAUCAAUUGACGUUACCGACAGAAGAAGCACCGGCUAACUCCGUGCCAGCAGCCGCGGUAAUACGGAGGGUGCAAGCGUUAAUCGGAAUUACUGGGCGUAAAGCGCACGCAGGCGGUUGAUUGAGUCAGAUGUGAAAUCCCCGGGCUUAACCCGGGAAUUGCAUCUGAUACUGGUCAGCUAGAGUCUUGUAGAGGGGGGUAGAAUUCCAUGUGUAGCGGUGAAAUGCGUAGAGAUGUGGAGGAAUACCGGUGGCGAAGGCGGCCCCCUGGACAAAGACUGACGCUCAGGUGCGAAAGCGUGGGAGCAAACAGG
Molecule: ribosomal RNA, 428 nt
Filed under: Chloroflexota bacterium
Lineage: Bacteria; Bacillati; Chloroflexota
Description: Chloroflexi bacterium partial 16S ribosomal RNA
Rfam family: Bacterial small subunit ribosomal RNA
Source: RNAcentral